This 497-nucleotide ribosomal RNA is filed under the name uncultured bacterium. RNAcentral's name for it is "partial 16S ribosomal RNA". It matches the Rfam family "Bacterial small subunit ribosomal RNA", at positions 28 to 507 of the family's 1533-position model. The record is from RNAcentral.
GAUGAACGCUGGCGGCGUGCCUAAUACAUGCAAGUCGAGCGAACAGAUGAGGAGCUUGCUCCUCUGACGUUAGCGGCGGACGGGUGAGUAACACGUGGAUAACCUACCUAUAAGACUGGGAUAACUUCGGGAAACCGGAGCUAAUACCGGAUAAUAUAUUGAACCGCAUGGUUCAAUAGUGAAAGACGGCUUUGCUGUCACUUAUAGAUGGAUCCGCGCCGCAUUAGCUAGUUGGUAAGGUAACGGCUUACCAAGGCAACGAUGCGUAGCCGACCUGAGAGGGUGAUCGGCCACACUGGAACGGGGACACGGUCCAGACGCCUACGGGAGGCAGCAGUAGGGAAUCUUCCGCAAUGGGCGAAAGCCUGACGGAGCAACGCCGCGUGAGUGAUGAAGGUCUUCGGAGCGUAAAGCUCUGUUAUUAGGUAAGAACAAAUGUGUAAGUAACUAUGCACGUCUUGACGGUACCUAAUCAGAAAGCCACGGCUAACUACGUG